RNAcentral lists this ribosomal RNA (410 nucleotides) under uncultured Methylomirabilota bacterium. Its description in RNAcentral is "bacterial SSU rRNA". It matches the Rfam family "Bacterial small subunit ribosomal RNA", at positions 1025 to 1434 of the family's 1533-position model. Lineage: Bacteria; Methylomirabilota (SeqCode). The record is from RNAcentral.
AACGUGGAGACAGGUGGUGCAUGGCUGUCGUCAGCUCGUGUCGUGAGAUGUUGGGUUAAGUCCCGCAACGAGCGCAACCCUCACCUCUUGUUGCCAUCAGGUCAUGCUGGGCACUCUAGAGGAACUGCCCCGGUCAACGGGGAGGAAGGCGGGGAUGACGUCAAAUCAUCAUGCCCCUUACGUCCUGGGCUACACACGUGCUACAAUGGCCGGUACAAAGGGAUGCCACACCGCGAGGUAGAGCUAAACCCAAAAAGCCGGUCUAAGUUCAGAUUGGAGUCUGCAACUCGACUCCAUGAAGGAGGAAUCGCUAGUAAUCGCGUAUCAGCACGACGCGGUGAAUACGUUCCCGGGCCUUGUACACACCGCCCGUCACACCACGAAAGCCUGCUGUACUCGAAGUCGCUGAG